UUAUUGGGCGUAAGCGAGCGCAGGCGGUCUUUUAAGUCUAAUGUGAAAGCCUUCGGCUCAACCGAAGAAGUGCAUUGGAAACUGGGAGACUUGAGUGCAGAAGAGGACAGUGGAACUCCAUGUGUAGCGGUGAAAUGCGUAGAUAUAUGGAAGAACACCAGUGGCGAAGGCGGCUGUCUGGUCUGCAACUGACGCUGAGGCUCGAAAGCAUGGGUAGCGAACAGGAUUAGAUACCCUGGUAGUCCAUGCCGUAAACGAUGAUUACUAAGUGUUGGAGGGUUUCCGCCCUUCAGUGCUGCAGCUAACGCAUUAAGUAAUCCGCCUGGGGAGUACGACCGCAAGGUUGAAACUCAAAAGAAUUGACGGGGGCCCGCACAAGCGGUGGAGCAUGUGGUUUAAUUCGAAGCUACGCGAAGAACCUUACCAGGUCUUGACAUCUUCUGACAGUCUAAGAGAUUAGAGGUUCCCUUCGGGGACAGAAUGACAGGUGGUGCAUGGUUGUCGUCAGCUCGUGUCGUGAGAUGUUGGGUUAAGUCCCGCAACGAGCGCAACCCUUAUUACUAGUUGCCAGCAUUAAGUUGGGCACUCUAGUGAGACUGCCGGUGACAAACCGGAGGAAGGUGGGGACGACGUCAAAUCAUCAUGCCCCUUAUGACCUGGGCUACACACGUGCUACAAUGGAUGGUACAACGAGUCGCGAGACCGCGAGGUUAAGCUAAUCUCUUAAAACCAUU
RNAcentral lists this ribosomal RNA (734 nucleotides) under Pediococcus pentosaceus. RNAcentral describes it as "bacterial SSU rRNA". It matches the Rfam family "Bacterial small subunit ribosomal RNA", at positions 551 to 1286 of the family's 1533-position model. The record is from RNAcentral. Lineage: Bacteria; Bacillati; Bacillota; Bacilli; Lactobacillales; Lactobacillaceae.